RNAcentral lists this ribosomal RNA (1403 nucleotides) under Cephalothrix komarekiana SAG 75.79. RNAcentral's name for it is "bacterial SSU rRNA". It matches the Rfam family "Bacterial small subunit ribosomal RNA". Lineage: Bacteria; Bacillati; Cyanobacteriota; Cyanophyceae; Aerosakkonematales; Aerosakkonemataceae. The record is from RNAcentral.
GUGGCGGACGGGUGAGUAACACGUGAGAAUCUGCCAACAGGACGGGGACAACAGGGGGAAACCGCUGCUAAGACCCGAUAAACCGAAAGGGGAAAAAGAAAUUGCCAGUUGAUGAGCUCGCGUCGGAUUAGCUAGUUGGUAGUGUAAGGGACUACCAAGGCGACGAUCCGUAGCCGGUCUGAGAGGACGAUCGGCCACACUGGGACUGAGACACGGCCCAGACUCCUACGGGAGGCAGCAGUGGGGAAUUUUCCGCAAUGGGCGAAAGCCUGACGGAGCAAGACCGCGUGAGGGAGGAAGGCUCUUGGGUUGUAAACCUCUUUUCUCAAGGAAGAAGAAAUGACGGUACUUGAGGAAUCAGCAUCGGCUAACUCCGUGCCAGCAGCCGCGGUAAUACGGAGGAUGCAAGCGUUAUCCGGAAUGAUUGGGCGUAAAGCGUCCGCAGGUGGCAGUUCAAGUCUGCCGUUAAAGACUCCAGCUUAACUGGAGGAAGGCGGUGGAAACUGAACAGCUAGAGUGCGGUAGGGGCAGAGGGAAUUCCCGGUGUAGCGGUGAAAUGCGUAGAGAUCGGGAAGAACACCAGUGGCGAAAGCGCUCUGCUGGACCGCAACUGACACUCAGGGACGAAAGCUAGGGGAGCGAAUGGGAUUAGAUACCCCAGUAGUCCUAGCCGUAAACGAUGGAUACUAGGUGUUGUGCGUAUCGACCCGCGCAGUGCCGCAGCUAACGCGCUAAGUAUCCCGCCUGGGGAGUACGCACGCAAGUGUGAAACUCAAAGGAAUUGACGGGGGCCCGCACAAGCGGUGGAGUAUGUGGUUUAAUUCGAUGCAACGCGAAGAACCUUACCAGGACUUGACAUGUCCGGAAUCUCGGUGAAAGCUGAGAGUGCCUUCGGGAACCGGAACACAGGUGGUGCAUGGCUGUCGUCAGCUCGUGUCGUGAGAUGUUGGGUUAAGUCCCGCAACGAGCGCAACCCUCGUUUCUAGUUGCCAGCAUUAAGUUGGGCACUCUGGAGAGACUGCCGGUGACAAACCGGAGGAAGGUGGGGAUGACGUCAAGUCAGCAUGCCCCUUACGUCCUGGGCUACACACGUACUACAAUGCUUCAGACAAAGGGCAGCUAGCCAGCGAUGGUCAGCAAAUCCCAGAAACUGAGGCUCAGUUCAGAUCGCAGGCUGCAACUCGCCUGCGUGAAGGCGGAAUCGCUAGUAAUCGCCGGUCAGCAUACGGCGGUGAAUACGUUCCCGGGCCUUGUACACACCGCCCGUCACACCAUGGGAGCUGGCGGUGCCCGAAGUCGUUAUCCUAACCCCUCGGGGAGGGAGACGCCGAAGGCAAAGCUGGUGACUGGGGUGAAGUCGUAACAAGGUAGCCGUACCGGAAGGUGUGGCUGGAUCACCUCCU